Molecule: ribosomal RNA, 495 nt
Filed under: uncultured bacterium
Lineage: Bacteria
Description: partial 16S ribosomal RNA
Rfam family: Bacterial small subunit ribosomal RNA
Source: RNAcentral
GAUGAACGCUGGCGGCGUGCCUAAUACAUGCAAGUCGAGCGAACAGACGAGGAGCUUGCUCCUCUGACGUUAGCGGCGGACGGGUGAGUAACACGUGGAUAACCUACCUAUAAGACUGGGAUAACUUCGGGAAACCGGAGCUAAUACCGGAUAAUAUAUUGAACCGCAUGGUUCAAUAGUGAAAGACGGUUUUGCUGUCACUUAUAGAUGGAUCCGCGCCGCAUUAGCUAGUUGGUAAGGUAACGGCUUACCAAGGCAACGAUGCGUAGCCGACCUGAGAGGGUGAUCGGCCACACUGGAACGGAGACACGGUCCAGACUCCUACGGGAAGCAGCAGUAGGGAAUCUUCCGCAAUGGGCGAAAGCCUGACGGAGCAACGCCGCGUGAAUGAUGAAGGUCUUCGGAUCGUAAAACUCUGUUAUUAGGGAAGAACAAAUGUGUAAGUAACUAUGCACGUCUUGACGGUACCUAAUCAGAAAGCCACGGCUAACUACG